AGUUUGAUCCUGGUUCAGAUUGAACGCCAGUGGAUGCUUACAUGCAAGUCGAACGGCAGCACGGACUUCGGUCUGGUGGCGAGUGGCGAACGGGUGAGUAAUGUAUCGAAUCGUGUUUAGUAGCGGGGAUAACUACGCGAAAGGUAGCGACACCGCAUACGUUCCCUUCGGGGAAAGGGGGACCUUCGGGCCUGCACUAUUAGGAGCGGCCGAUAUCGGAUUAGCUAGUUGGUGGGGUAACGGCUCACCAAGGCGACGAUCCGUGGCUGGUUUGAGAGGACGACCAGCCACACUGGGACUGAGACACGGCCCAGACUCCUACGGUGAGGCAGCAGUGGGGAAUUUGACAAUGGGGAAACUCUGAUCCAGCCAUCCCGCGUGUGCGAUGAAGGCCUUCGGGUUGUAAAGACUCUGGCAGUGAAAGAAACGCAGCACGGGAUAAUACCCCGCAAGUAACUGACGGCACUUGCAGAAUAAGCACCGGUUAACUACGCCAGGCAGCCAGGCGGUAAUACGUGGGGUGCAAGCAAAAGGCACUGAAUUACUGGGCGUAAAGCGCAGGCGGACUGGAAAGAAAGAUGUGAAAUCCCAGAGCUUAACUUUGAACUGCAUUUUUAACUACCGAGCUAGAGUGCGUCAGAGGAGGUGAAUUCCGCGUGUGCAGUGAAUGCAGAUAUGCGGAGGAACACCGACAUGAAGGCAGCCUCUGGGGAUAAACACUGAUUACCGCACGGAAAGCGUGGGGAGCAAACAGGAUUAGAUAAUUUUGCAGUCCACGCCCUAACGAUACAACUAUGCUGUUGGGGCUUUCGGCCGGUAAAGCGUGAAGCACGUGCGUGAAGUUGACCGCUCAGAGCAUUAUCGCAAGAUUAAACCAAAGGAAUUGACGGGACCCGCACAAGCGGUGUGGAUGAUGUGGAUUAAUUGAUGCAACGCGAAACCUUACCUACUCCUUGAUGAAAUGGAAUCCCGAAGAGAUUUGGGAGUGUCGCAAGAGAAAUCCGGAACACAGGUGCUGUAUGGCUGUCGUCAGCUCGUGUCGUGAGAUGUUGGGUUGUCCCGCAACGAGCGCAACCUUGUUAUUAGUUGGCAUGAAAGGGCACCUAAUGACUGCCGGUGACAAACCGAGGAAGGGGGUGGGGGAUGACGUCAAGUCCUCAUGGCCCUUAUGGGUAGGGCUUCACACGUCAUACUGGUCGGGACAGGGUCGCCAACCCGCGAGGAGCCCCGGGUCCCAGAACCCGAUCGAACCGAUCGCGUUCGUAACUCGAUCGCGCGGAAGUCGGAAUCGCUAGUAAUCGCGGAUCAGCAUGUCGCGGUGUAGCUGACAGUUCCCGCGGGUCUUGUACACACCGCCCGUCACACCACAGGGAGUGGGUUUUACCAGAAGUAGUUAGCCUAACCGUAAGGAGGGCGAUUACCACGGUGAUUCAUGACUGGGGUAAGCCGUAAUACAGGAAGCUCAGCAUAACAAUUGCGCCCCCA
Molecule: ribosomal RNA, 1485 nt
Filed under: uncultured Bordetella sp.
Lineage: Bacteria; Pseudomonadati; Pseudomonadota; Betaproteobacteria; Burkholderiales; Alcaligenaceae
Description: partial 16S-23S ribosomal RNA intergenic spacer
Rfam family: Bacterial small subunit ribosomal RNA
Source: RNAcentral